GUACGAUUUUCGUAAACGGAAGUGCGUCCAACGCGCUUGGUCCAACGUGACUUAUGACCACUGCUGUAAAUAAAGGCGAAAGAGGCUAGCCUGUAAAAAGUUAUGCCGUGUGUAACCUAAAACUCCAGGAUGUUGUGUGAAAUCCUUCUGUCUUCGCUGUGGUUCCUGUUUGUUAUCUUCUGGGUCGAAACAAUAAGUGUGUGGCUCUUUCUGUCCAUGUUUUACCAGGAUCGGGCAAUUUAUCACUCAGUGGAGGGGAAUAGCAAGCCCCAAUGCAAACAAGUGCAUGUACAACGAAAUAAGCUCUGUCUCUGAUGGCACCGUGUGAGAGCGUAAUUUUCAAAAACUCAUUUGAU
This is a long non-coding RNA of Austrofundulus limnaeus, 356 nucleotides long. RefSeq lists it as uncharacterized. The record is from RefSeq and is a predicted model, not a curated record. The transcript has 3 exons. Lineage: Eukaryota; Metazoa; Chordata; Actinopteri; Cyprinodontiformes; Rivulidae.